UGACCCAUGGUGUAAAGGUAGCACUACAGUUUUUGGUACUGUCAGUUCAGGUUCGAAUCCUGGUGGGUCAA
Molecule: transfer RNA, 71 nt
Filed under: Bacteroidota bacterium
Lineage: Bacteria; Pseudomonadati; Bacteroidota
Description: Bacteroidetes bacterium tRNA-Gln
Rfam family: tRNA
About the family: Transfer RNA (tRNA) molecules are approximately 80 nucleotides in length. Their secondary structure includes four short double-helical elements and three loops (D, anti-codon, and T loops). Further hydrogen bonds mediate the characteristic L-shaped molecular structure. tRNAs have two regions of fundamental functional importance: the anti-codon, which is responsible for specific mRNA codon recognition, and the 3' end, to which the tRNAs corresponding amino acid is attached (by aminoacyl-tRNA synthetases). tRNAs cope with the degeneracy of the genetic code in two manners: having more than one tRNA (with a specific anti-codon) for a particular amino acid; and 'wobble' base-pairing, i.e. permitting non-standard base-pairing at the 3rd anti-codon position.
Source: RNAcentral